GAUGAACGCUGGCGGCGUGCCUAAUACAUGCAAGUCGAGCGAACGGACGAGAAGCUUGCUUCUCUGAUGUUAGCGGCGGACGGGUGAGUAACACGUGGAUAACCUACCUAUAAGACUGGGAUAACUUCGGGAAACCGGAGCUAAUACCGGAUGAUAUUUUGAACCGCAUGGUUCAAAAGUGAAAGACGGUCUUGCUGUCACUUAUAGAUGGUUCCGCGCUGCAUUAGCUAGUUGGUAAGGUAACGGCUUACCAAGGCAACGAUGCAUAGCCGACCUGAGAGGGUGAGCCGCCACGCGAGGACGGAGACCCGGAACAGACCUCAAAGGGGGGCCAGAGUAGGAAAUCGUCCGAAAGGGGCGAACGUCGGACGGAGCGACGCCGCGUGAGUGAUGAAGGUCUUCGGAGCGUAAACCUCUGUUAUGAGGGAAAAAGAUAUGUGUAAGUACCUGUGCACAUCUAGGCGGUACCUAAACAGAGCGCCGCCGAGAACUGCG
Molecule: ribosomal RNA, 495 nt
Filed under: uncultured bacterium
Lineage: Bacteria
Description: partial 16S ribosomal RNA
Rfam family: Bacterial small subunit ribosomal RNA
Source: RNAcentral